AAUGGAGUUAUUACAUGAUACUUCCUACUAAAUAAUUCAUGAAUGAGUAUAUGCUGAUUUCUAAAAUGACAACAUGCAGGUUGAAUGCUGUCCACACACAAGAUUAUUGUCCAUGUUUAAAAAGAACAUGGGGCGGGGGUCCCAGUUUCAGUGAAAGACUGAUAUUG
Molecule: long non-coding RNA, 167 nt
Filed under: Chinchilla lanigera (long-tailed chinchilla)
Lineage: Eukaryota; Metazoa; Chordata; Mammalia; Rodentia; Chinchillidae
Description: lncRNA (ENSCLAG00000023158.1)
Source: RNAcentral